Molecule: ribosomal RNA, 377 nt
Filed under: uncultured organism
Description: bacterial SSU rRNA
Rfam family: Bacterial small subunit ribosomal RNA
Source: RNAcentral
CGGGGGGAGCAAGCGUUGUUCGGAUUUACUGGGCGUAAAGGGCGCGUAGGCGGCCACCGCAAGUCGACUGUGAAAUCUCCGGGCUUAACCCGGAAAGGUCAGCCGAUACUGCGGGGCUAGAGUGCAGAAGGGGCAACUGGAAUUCUCGGUGUAGCGGUGAAAUGCGUAGAUAUCGAGAGGAACACCUGCGGCGAAGGCGGGUUGCUGGGCUGACACUGACGCUGAUGCGCGAAAAGCUAAGGGGGAGCGAACGGGAUUAGAUACCCCGGUAGUCCUAGCCUUAAACGAUGAAUGCUUGGUGUCUGGGGUUCUAUAGUCCCCGGGUGCCGUCGCUAACGCUUUAAGCAUUCCGCCUGGGGAGUACGGUCGCAAGACUG